Long non-coding RNA from Bos taurus (domestic cattle), 366 nucleotides. Lineage: Eukaryota; Metazoa; Chordata; Mammalia; Artiodactyla; Bovidae. The record is from Ensembl.
GUCCCAUCUCAAGGGACACCCUCCCUCCUAAAGGGCUGUUCUGGACACCUGAGUGAGCCAUGUGAUUAUUGUUCCAGGCUGGAGCUGGAAUCAGAGAUGGCGCUGUCUCGGGGCCAUGCCCCCUCUGGAGGCUGACGGGGCUGCAGCAGAGAUCCAGGCUUGCCCAGCUCCUGGGGCACCAGGUGUCCCUGACCCGAGGCCAUGUCACUCCAGCCUCUGCCCCCAUCUUCAUGUGGCUUCUCCUCUGUGGGGAUGCCAGUCAUUGGAUUUAGAGCCACCCUGAUCCAGGAUGAUCUCGUCUUAAAGCUUCUUUACUUCAUUCCAUCUGCGAGGACCCCGUUGCCACAUAAUGUCAUGAUCUGAUGU